GUUUGUAUAGCUCACUGGUAGAGUGCUUGCCUAACGUGUAUGAGAUUCUGGGUUCAAUCCCCAGUACCUUCA
RNAcentral lists this transfer RNA (72 nucleotides) under Camelus bactrianus (Bactrian camel). It matches the Rfam family "tRNA". From Rfam's summary of the family: Transfer RNA (tRNA) molecules are approximately 80 nucleotides in length. The record is from Rfam by way of RNAcentral. Lineage: Eukaryota; Metazoa; Chordata; Mammalia; Artiodactyla; Camelidae. RNAcentral also lists the same sequence under 1 other name.